GACGAACGCUGGCGGCGUGCUUAACACAUGCAAGUCGAACGGAAAGGCCCUGCUUUUGUGGGGUGCUCGAGUGGCGAACGGGUGAGUAACACGUGAGUAACCUGCCCUUGACUUUGGGAUAACUUCAGGAAACUGGGGCUAAUACCGGAUAGGAGCUCCUGCUGCAUGGUGGGGGUUGGAAAGUUUCGGCGGUUGGGGUUGGACUCGCGGCUUAUCAGCUUGUUGGUGGGGUAGUGGCUUACCAAGGCUUUGACGGGUAGCCGGCCUGAGAGGGUGACCGGCAAAAUUGGGACUGAGAGACGGCCCAGAAUGGUACGGGAGGCAGCAGGGGGGAAUAUUGCACAAUGGGCGGAAGCAUGAUGAAGAAAAGCCGCGUGCGGGAUGACGGCCUUCGGGUUGUAAAAAGCAUUAGACUGUGACGAAGAGUGAGUGACGGUAAUGGGUAAAGAAGCACCGGCUAACUACGUG
This 468-nucleotide ribosomal RNA is filed under the name uncultured bacterium. RNAcentral describes it as "partial 16S ribosomal RNA". It matches the Rfam family "Bacterial small subunit ribosomal RNA", at positions 28 to 507 of the family's 1533-position model. The record is from RNAcentral.